AGAAUCAACGCUGGCGGCGUGCCUAACACAUGCAAGUCGAACGCGAAAGGGCGCAAGCCCUGAGUAGAGUGGCAAACGGGUGAGUAACACGUGGUGACCUGCCUUCGAGUGGGGGAUAACGUUCCGAAAGGAACGCUAAUACCGCAUGACAUCCUGCGUUUGGAGACGCGGACAUCAAAGCUGGGGAUCGCAAGACCUGGCGCUACGGAGAGGGGCCCGCGGCUGACUUAGCUAGUUGGUGGGUAAUGGCUCACCAAGGCGACGAUCAGUA
This 271-nucleotide ribosomal RNA is filed under the name uncultured soil bacterium. Its description in RNAcentral is "partial 16S ribosomal RNA". It matches the Rfam family "Bacterial small subunit ribosomal RNA", at positions 26 to 285 of the family's 1533-position model. The record is from RNAcentral.